This is a non-coding RNA of Paramuricea clavata, 443 nucleotides long. Lineage: Eukaryota; Metazoa; Cnidaria; Anthozoa; Malacalcyonacea; Plexauridae. The record is from the annotation of a GenBank genome assembly.
GGGAAUGCGGGAAUGGGGGAAUGCGGGAAUGGGGGAAUGGGGGAAUACGGAAAUGGGGGAAUACGGGAACGGGGGAAUGCGGGAAUGUAGGGUUAACGAAUUUUUCUUGAAACAGUCUAUCCAAAGAAAUAUUUAAAUACGUGUUGAAAGGAAAUCCACUGUAUUGCAAUUAUUUAAAUGAAAGUGUUGGCGUGCACAGACUCUUUAUUAAUAUGACUUCGAAAACAAAAAGAAAAUAGUCGAACUACGGUAGAAGUAAUAUUCGUAGUGUUUUAAUAAUAUAAAACCUUGCGGUAUAUUAAAAAUACCUAUAUUUUAAGUGUUUUAUUACUGUGCAUUAAUACAAUAUUAUUCAAGGUGUUCUUCAGGGUGUUCUUAGUGAAAAUUUAAAAUUUAAAUAUUACUAAAGUAAAAAGUAAGAGAGCAGUCAUUAUUAAUGCCGG